This 254-nucleotide ribosomal RNA is filed under the name uncultured bacterium. Its description in RNAcentral is "partial 16S ribosomal RNA". It matches the Rfam family "Bacterial small subunit ribosomal RNA", at positions 524 to 776 of the family's 1533-position model. The record is from RNAcentral.
UACGGAGGGAGCUAGCGUUGUUCGGAAUUACUGGGCGUAAAGCGCACGUAGGCGGCUUUGUAAGUUAGAGGUGAAAGCCCGGGGUUCAACUCCGGAACUGCCUUUAAGACUGCAUCGCUUGAAUCCAGGAGAGGUGAGUGGAAUUCCGGAGUGUAGAGGUGAAAUUCGUAGAUAUUCGGAAGAACACCAGUGGCGAAGGCGGCUCACUGGACUGGUAUUGACGCUGAGGUGCGAAAGCGUGGGGAGCAAACAGG